Molecule: ribosomal RNA, 384 nt
Filed under: Pinna nobilis
Lineage: Eukaryota; Metazoa; Mollusca; Bivalvia; Pterioida; Pinnidae
Description: partial 16S ribosomal RNA
Rfam family: Bacterial large subunit ribosomal RNA
Source: RNAcentral
CUAGCCUUUUAAUUGGAGGCCUGCAUGAAUGGCUUGACGAGCGCCCUGCUGUCUCUCUUCCCAUGAACUUUUAAAUUAACUUUCGCGUGCAAAGGCGCGAAUGGCUGAGUUAGACGAAAAGACCCUAUGCAUCUUUACUGAGAGAGAAGAAAGUUCUUUAGCUUGGUUUAGCUGGGGCAGCUGAGGAAAAGGCAAAAUUUCCUUAAUAUAAAUCAUACUGGUGGGUUUAGAUCCAGGCUCUUUAGCGGGCUUGACAAGUAGAAAAGUUACGCUAGGGAUAACAGCGUUAUCCUUCUGUGGAGGUCUUAUCUGCAGGAGGGAUUGCGACCUCGAUGUUGAAUUAGGGAUAUACCAGAAAGGCGCAGAAGCUUUUAUUGUGGGUCU